Molecule: long non-coding RNA, 1849 nt
Organism: Lactuca sativa (garden lettuce)
Lineage: Eukaryota; Viridiplantae; Streptophyta; Magnoliopsida; Asterales; Asteraceae
Source: RefSeq, a predicted model, not a curated record
UCCGCAUCGAUUUGAAACCAAAUCAAUUCCGUCAACAUGAAUCUCAUCUUAUCCCCACCGCUCCUACUCCACUACUUGUCUUCUUCUCUCUACGAAAACCGGCGUCAUCAUCGUUCUUCGUUAUUUCCUCUUUUAAACCCUAAUCUUCUUUUUUCCAGUCUAUCAAUAGCUGUGUUGUGAGGAACCCGUGGCGUCUCUCCAAAUAAAUGCCACCCAAUUGGAAUUUCAAAUAUUGAAUUCAAACACUCUUCCAUCUCUCUCCCUAUAUUCUCUAAACCCUAACUCCACCAUUUAUCAAUUUUUUUCGAUGAAGCUCCAAAACAAAGCAAAAUAAGAACGAAUUAAGAUCCUCGGUGUCCUUGAAAAGCGCUUCCCAGGAGGUUUAUCAGAAAGCUGCCAUCUAGAAUCAUUAUGAGAAUGAUGGAAAUUCUGAUAAGUUCAACCGGGUAGAGGUACUGGGUUAUAUACCCAUGUAGAUGAAGGUCGUGGGUUCUACUCCUGGCUGGAUCAUAUGUGGGUGAUUUUUCCGAGAGCGGUAGCUGAGUUUAGAUCCAAGUUAAUGCGUGAAGCCCCACAAAGGGAAACUGGGUGCAAGUGGUUAUUCUCCUUGGAGAGGUUUCGAUCUCGGAUCUUCGUGACUAGGUAAUGCUUUUGGAGGCACAUGAAGACUGAUUUUUAUAGCGGGCAUGUUGGUCUUUGUGACACGUGUCUGGGAUUUCUUUUUUAUUUUAUGGGGUUACAUCUUUCAGUAGGUUUCUGAAAUUGUGUAGGGGCUUUGUUUUCUUGAAACCUCUGAGGUCGAACUGAGUAUUCUAUCUUUAGCAGCCCCUCUUUUUUCUUCAUACUUUUCCCUAAUCAAGUUCUCAAUGCCAACCCUAUCAUAGUUUCUACUUUCGAGGUAGUUUUGCUUCCACAUUAUGAAGCUAAUAUUUGUUUGCAAGAAGAAAGGUGUGACAGGGCAAGGAGGAAGACAAAAUGGACGAUCGUGAGGAAGAGGGUCACAGAGAAGGAGAUUGAAACUAUAACAUGAGGGUCAUCGAGAGGGACCAAGGUUGCCAGCAGAAGGAACGGAGAGCGAAAUGAGAGAAUGAGGAGUGUUGCCAAUGCAAGGUAAUAAAACUUUGAAUUAAUAGCGAAUUUAACUUUAUUUUUUAUGAAGAUCAUAGGAAAACCUUCUAAUAGACAUGCAUUUUAAGUCCUGGUAAGUGUAGUUAUGAUUAAGUUGGCAGGUUUGAAGAUGCACACCACGUGCUUGAUGAAAUGAUUGAAAGAACUGGUUAGUGUAGUUACGAUUAAUUUGAUUUCUUGAUUUUCUUUGGGCUAUAAAGAAAUCGAAAAAACGAUAUUUUUAUCAGCUACUCAAGCUCAAGGUGAUAGUAAAUUAUGAUUUCCCUUUUGUUAAUAAACUUGAGAUGACAAACAAGGAUCUGAAAUCAAUUCCUUUAAAGUAAAUAUUUAAUCAUUUUCUUUUUAUUGAAUUCUUAGGUUUCAUUUGAAUUUAGAACCAUAUAUAACAUCUAGGCCUACAUUUGACCAACGAACACUACAUCUCUUUUUCGGGGUAAUCAAUAUUCAUGUUUUUUUGUACGUGUGUGUGUGUGUGUGUUUAAAUAUUUGGUAGAUUGAACCCAAUGUGGGAAUUGAGGUGUGUUUAUUUUCACAGGUUUGAUGAAGGUUUUACCGUAUAAAGUUUCCAUGUGCUUUUUAUUAUAGAUCAUCCACAGUUUGAGGUGGCAUAAUUUUUCUUUUAUUAAUGUAUGCAUGUGAAUGUAUGUAUGUACAUGUAUGUAUUUGGCUGUGUGUGUAUGUGACUGUAUGACUAUGUAUGUAUGUAUUUUAUUUGCUUUAA